This 456-nucleotide long non-coding RNA is filed under the name Trifolium pratense (red clover). RNAcentral's name for it is "long non-coding RNA (TPRA_LNC006437)". Lineage: Eukaryota; Viridiplantae; Streptophyta; Magnoliopsida; Fabales; Fabaceae. The record is from RNAcentral.
AUUAUUAAUAAUUAAUUGAUUAUUUGCAUUUAUUUUAUUUGUGGUUUUUAAUGUAAUUAAUUAAUUAUGUGUUAAUUGUUGGUUUACGUGUUUUUAAUAGAAAUAACACGUUAAGAAUAGAAUGAGGGAAGUGAUGUGUUAGAAUAUGUUUUAGGCUCAUUUAGUAGAGGGGUAUUUUGGUAAAAGAAGAAGGUGGUAAACCUAACUAUAUAAGGACCAAGUUAGAGAGAGGUUGUCAUAAAUUAUGAUUUUGAUGGAGGUAGAGAGAGAAGCUCUCAAGAAAGAAAGAUAAAGAGAAAGUUAGAGAAAAGAAGAGAAAGAAUGAAUAGGAAAGCUAAGUAGAGGGGAAGAUUGAAGAAGAGCUAGGAGAUGAAGGACUAGAGAAUCCAACAUCAAUAAGGUAUGAGAGUAGUAAUUUAUUCAUUUUGAGAUGGUUCAUAAAGAGGGGAGAAAAAC